This is a long non-coding RNA of Mustela erminea (ermine), 3375 nucleotides long. RefSeq lists it as uncharacterized. The record is from RefSeq and is a predicted model, not a curated record. The transcript is spliced from 2 exons. NCBI's taxonomy places the organism in Eukaryota, Metazoa, Chordata, Mammalia, Carnivora, Mustelidae.
AUCGGAGAUUUCGGUUUUGUUUCUGGUUUUUUUUUUUUUUUUUUUUUUUUUUUUUUUUUUUUUUUCCUUUUACCUGAGAUCCUCACUUUGGCCAGCUGAGCUGACUUUUUAGCAAGGUGGAAGCUGUCUCCUUUGCUCCACCCAGGGCCAGCUGUUGAAUGGCUACACCUGUCAGCGCUGAGCAACAGAUGUCCAAGGGUAUAAGCAGUCAUGGAUGAAUCCUAUAUUGUGAGAAAUGAGGACGAGAGAAAACACCAGAAAACAAUGCAAAACCUGUGACAUAGGAGAGGACUUUUUUAGUAUUAAAAGGCUACAGUAUUGUGUUUGAUUGUCCCGUGUAUUUUUCAAAACAUUUUCCUGAAAGCCUGCCUUAUGGAAUCUUACCACACCCCUGCAGGUAAGGGAAGGUGGUCUCAUCUAAUAGUGGAAGGAACUGUGGCCCAAGUGGGUGAGGUACUUGCCCAAGGUCAAGUAGCUAGUUCAGUGACACAUUUUGGAUGUAGUGCUCUGGGAAAAUAAGGACUGUUUUUAUUUAAUCUUUGUAUUCUCUGUGCAUCCAGCACAGUGUCAGGGCCAUAGUAGAGCUUGGUGAAUGACCCUUGCCUCCCAUAUUGGUUGAUUUCAGUUUAUUAUGUGCUCAGUAUUUUGCUCAGGACUACGGUGAAGACAACAUAAAUAAUGACUUUGUGAGCUGCAGAUGUGGCUCACUGCCCACCCUGCCCACACUUUUCUUUCUUAAGGAAUAUUCUCCUUGGAUAGCUCCUGCUGCCUGCAGGGCCUUGUUCUGAACUGCAACCCCUUUGGCUCGGCUGAUGAGGGAGUAGGAUGGGCUCGACUCAGGGGCAGACACUCCAUAGUGGCACAGACACUUGUAACCUUGUGGUUUGGCUCAGAAAGCUUCUCUGUGGUGAUCCUCUGUCUUGUGCAAAGAGUGAAGCUUCGAGUGGGAGGGGAAAAUGGAAGCAGAAAGGGGCAUAGGUGAAUAGGGUAGUAGAGAAGAGAAGAGCCGGCUCUAAUGGGUCACAUGAUUGCUGACAUGAGGAAACAGGAACUAUGGUGAAGAGAGAAAAAUAGGGGAGAGAAUGCACUGGGUGGAGAGAAUGGUGCAGAGAUACUGAGAAGAGGUAGCCCAACCUUGGAAACCACCCCCACCCUGAGUUGGCUAGUCCCCGUUCCCAAGUACUGUCAGAAUUAGCUCUUUUUUCCCUUGAAGUGACUUAAAUAGGUUUCUGUUCCCUGCAGCCAAAUUGGCCAGAUGUGUGGCUGUCCUGUGUGCAAGUUAUUUACAUCCAAAUGGGGUCUAAAGAACUUACAUGAAAUAAGGAAUAAAUAAUCUAGGAGAGGAUAUUAUUAAUAGAACAUUGUGUUUGCUAUGGGUGACAUAGUUCCCAUUGGAGGUCAGGACUUAGAGCAUGAGGCCUGCUCAGGAACACUUCACUGAGAAAUAAUUUGGGAUGAGUGCUUCCCAAACUUUAAGGUGCAUAGGACUUAUCUGGGGAUCUUGUUAGGUAUAGAUUCUAAAUCAAUAGUUCUGGGGCUCAGAUAAUGCUAGAUGGCUCUGGUCUUCAGGUGUGAGUAGCACACAAUAUCCAAAGGAUAUUGUCUUUUGUUUUUUUCUUUUCUUUUUCUUCUUUUUUUUUUUUUUAGUAGUUGGGAGAGUACUGAAGGUAGAGAGUAACCAAUUGAAAAAAAUAGUGAAUGUUAAACAUGGCUUAUUUGAGAGAUCUUAAGGAAAUUGGCCAGGAGCAGAGGGAAACUUGGAAGGAAUAGAAUAUAAAUUUGGAUAGGUAGAUUCCUGCUAGAUUAUAGGCCAUUUCAAAUGCCAAGAUGAGUCAUUUGGAUAUAGAAUCAAGUAUUUGAAGAUCUUAGAGUUUCUAAUCCAUUUCUCAUUCAAGCAUGAUGCCAGUGCAUAGUAUAUAACAGGCCCAGUUAGGAGCCAAAUCAUCAUAGGGGAAUGACAUCCACAAAGAAGUAUCUUAGAAAGAUACAUUCUGGAAGCCUGUUGGAUAUUUUGGACAGAAUGGCACUGUAGAUAGACUCUGUCAUUAAGGGAAAAAAAAAAAAAAGAAAGGAAAAGAAAAAGUCUAGUAAUGACGAAGGGCAGGAGUAGUUUUGGAGUGGAGCAGUGAAGAUGGGAAGGGAGGAAUCACAGAUUAUUUCUAAGUAAAACAUAAACUCAGGUGAGCAGUAUCCCUUGAGCUCCUAUAAGUACUAUUCCUAGUACUUGGGAUGCAUCAGUGAAUAGAAUAGAAAAAGCCCAGCUCUGGAGGUCCUUACAUUUUAGUGAGGCAAGAGACCAAACACAAUACAUUAACAAAUACAGGAUUCAUUAUGUAGUAAGUACUAUGGGAAAUAUAACAAGAAGGUAGUGUGUUAAGGUUGGUGGAUGGAUUCCAACUUCAAAUAGAUUGGUUAGGUUGGCCUUCACUGAAAAAAGACGUGGUGGAAAUGGAAGAGUUCGCCUUGUGAGGAUCUAGGGAAAGAGUGUUCCAGGCAGAGGAAACAGUCACAGCAGAGAUCCCCAAGGCAAGAGAGUCAGGAGGGUUAAAGGAAGAGUGUAGGGGAGAUUAGUAGGAAAAGAAGUUACAAAGGUCAUACCAUAGGACAUAGCAAUAUAGGACAGGAGACAAAUGGAUAAAAUGAAAGGAGGUUCUCAAGGGGUAAUUUUAAAUUUUAAUGUUUGUAAGAUCUCAGGUAUCUCAUUAAAACUGUAAUUUCCUGAGUUACUCAUAAAGAUUUUCUUCAUUUAGGACUAGGAAACUACAUUCUUAAUGAAACUGUUAGGAUGUUCUGGUAUAGAUGAAACACAUUUUGAGGAACUCUGCUUUAGUCUUAAAACUGAUUGGGAAAAAUCUAUGAAAAGAUAAGGAAAUUGAGAAGGAGGGUCAAUACAAUAAGACGUAGGAAUUGUGGGAUAUCCAAAAGGACGUGUUUUGAUGAUACUUAAACUUGGAGGUUCGAUGUGGGCAAAAUCAAAGGGCAAUCUUUAGUUCAGAAGUAAUAGUUGAAACCCUGAUAGUAGAUAUAUUUUCCAGAAAGCAAAACAGGAUAAAGCAAAAAGCUAAGAAUUCUGAAUUUCUUCAUUUUUACCCUGGCUGAACCAAAUGGAUUUCUCAGUACAACAUUAGGAGUGCUAAAAAGAGAGACUGAAAUUACAGUGGAUUACACACAGUUUUUUCACCCUAGUAUGGAGGUAGGCAGUAUAGGUCAGUAAUCAUUCAUGCUCAAUUCAUGAAGUCAGAAGGGACAUUGUUUCUGUGCCUUUGCUUCAGCAUCUUCCAUGAAGUCAUAAGAUGGUUGCUGGACUUCCAGUCAUCAUGGAAAAGCUCCAGAUAGGGAAAGAUAACACACACACACACACACACACACACACAC